GGGACCCUGGGUGGAGCAGGAGGGUCUUUGUAUUCCUGGAGCUGCUGGAGAUAGUGGUGCACAGAGAAAAUACCUUCCACCUGAAAGAAAGUGAAGUCGCUCAGUCGUGUCCGACUCUUUGUGACCCCAUGGACUGUAGCCUACUAGGCUCCUCCCUCCAUGGGAUUCUCCAGGCAAGAGUACUGGAGUGGAGAUUGCCAUUUCCUUCUCCAGGGGAUCUUCCCGACCCAGGGAUCGAACCCGGUCUCCCACAUUCCAGGCAGACGCUUUAACUUCUGAGCCACCAGGGAAGCCCAACCUGAUUUCUCAGGAAAACCUGUCUGUGGCAAAGAGAGAGACCCAGCCAAUGUCCAAGCUCCACUCCAAUGUCGGGGAUUCACUCCCAGCUCUCUGCAUCCAGAUUCCCAGCCUCGUGGCACUGCCUUGCCUGGGGUGGCAUGAUUCACCUCGAGGCAGCCACCAACCAGGACUGCUGGUGUGAGGGGACUGGCUACUUUGCUCCCAGGGGCCAUCUUCAGAAGGGAAGAGAGAAUGCAGCAGCCUUGAGCACAUGCCCAGUGGGCUUCAUGCUACACCAGGAGAAGUGAGAAAUGGCUCUUCACAGGCAGUGCUACUG
This is a long non-coding RNA of Bos taurus (domestic cattle), 616 nucleotides long. The record is from Ensembl. Lineage: Eukaryota; Metazoa; Chordata; Mammalia; Artiodactyla; Bovidae.